UGGGGAAUUUUGGACAAUGGGCGAAAGCCUGAUCCAGCAAUGCCGCGUGUGUGAAGAAGGCCUUCGGGUUGUAAAGCACUUUUGUCCGGAAAGAAAUCCUUGGCUCUAAUACAGUCGGGGGAUGACGGUACCGGAAGAAUAAGCACCGGCUAACUACGUGCCAGCAGCCGCGGUAAUACGUGGGGUGCAAGCGUUAAUCGGAAUUACUGGGCGUAAAGCGUGCGCAGGCGGUUUGCUAAGACCGAUGUGAAAUCCCCGGGCUCAACCUGGGAACUGCAUUGGUGACUGGCAGGCUAGAGUAUGGCAGAGGGGGGUAGAAUUCCACGUGUAGCAGUGAAAUGCGUAGAGAUGUGGAGGAAUACCGAUGGCGAAGGCAGCCCCCUGGGCCAAUACUGACGCUCAUGCACGAAAGCGUGGGGAGCAAAACAGGAUUAGAUACCCUGGUAGUCCACGCCCUAAACGAUGUCAACUAGUUGUUGGGGAUUCAUUUCCUUAGUAACGUAGCUAACGCGUGAAGUUGACCGCCUGGGGAGUACGGUCGCAAGAUUAAAACUCAAAUGAAUUGACGGGGUCAUAGCUGUUUCCU
RNAcentral lists this ribosomal RNA (586 nucleotides) under uncultured bacterium. RNAcentral's name for it is "partial 16S ribosomal RNA". It matches the Rfam family "Bacterial small subunit ribosomal RNA", at positions 355 to 1375 of the family's 1533-position model. The record is from RNAcentral.